Molecule: ribosomal RNA, 253 nt
Filed under: uncultured bacterium
Lineage: Bacteria
Description: partial 16S ribosomal RNA
Rfam family: Bacterial small subunit ribosomal RNA
Source: RNAcentral
UACGUAGGGUGCGAGCGUUGUCCGGAAUUAUUGGGCGUAAAGAGCUCGUAGGCGGCUUGUCGCGUCGACUGUGAAAUCCCGCGGCUCAACUGCGGGUCUGCAGUCGAUACGGGCAGGCUAGAGUUCGGUAGGGGAGACUGGAAUUCCUGGUGUAGCGGUGGAAUGCGCAGAUAUCAGGAGGAACACCGGUGGCGAAGGCGGGUCUCUGGGCCGAAACUGACGCUGAGGAGCGAAAGCGUGGGGAGCGAACAGG